UAUCGACGGGGGAGUUUGGCACCUCGAUGUCGGCUCAUCACAUCCUGGGGCUGUAGCCGGUCCCAAGGGUAUGGCUGUUCGCCAUUUAAAGAGGUACGCGAGCUGGGUUUAAAACGUCGUGAGACAGUUUGGUCCCUAUCUGCCGUGGGCGUUGGAAAUUUGAAGGGGGCUGCUCCUAGUACGAGCGGCCCGGAGUGGACGCAUCACUGGUGUUCGGGUUGUCAUGCCAAUGGCACUGCCCGGUAGCUAAAUGCGGAAGAGAUAAGUGCUGAAAGCAUCUAAGCACGAAACUUGCCCCGAGAUGAGUUCUCCCUGAGACUUUAAGUCUCCUGAAGGAACGUUAAAGACGAUGACGUUGAUAGGCCGGGUGUGUAAGCGCAGCGAUGCGUUGAGCUAACCGGUACUAAUGAACCGUGAGGCUUAACCUUACAACGCCGAAG
This 440-nucleotide ribosomal RNA is filed under the name Acinetobacter baumannii. RNAcentral's name for it is "partial 23S ribosomal RNA". It matches the Rfam family "Bacterial large subunit ribosomal RNA", at positions 2503 to 2925 of the family's 2925-position model. Lineage: Bacteria; Pseudomonadati; Pseudomonadota; Gammaproteobacteria; Moraxellales; Moraxellaceae. The record is from RNAcentral.